UACGUAGGCAGCAAGCGUUGUUCGGAGUUACUGGGCGUAAAGGGUGUGUAGGCGGUUUUCUAAGUCUGGUGUGAAAUCUCCCGGCUCAACUGGGAGGGUGCGCCGAAAACUGGAAGGCUAGAGUGCGGGAUGGGAGAGUGGAAUUCCUGGUGUAGCGGUGAAAUGCGUAGAUAUCAGGAGGAACACCUGUGGUGUAGACGGCUCUCUGGACCGCAACUGACGCUGAGACACGAAAGCGUGGGUAGCAAGCAGG
Molecule: ribosomal RNA, 253 nt
Filed under: uncultured bacterium
Lineage: Bacteria
Description: partial 16S ribosomal RNA
Rfam family: Bacterial small subunit ribosomal RNA
Source: RNAcentral